Molecule: ribosomal RNA, 254 nt
Filed under: uncultured prokaryote
Description: partial 16S ribosomal RNA
Rfam family: Bacterial small subunit ribosomal RNA
Source: RNAcentral
UACGUAGGGUCCAAGCGCUAUCCGGAAUCACUGGGCGUAAAGCGUGCGUAGGUGGUCGCUCGCGUGCAAUGCGAAAUCCUGUGGCUCAACCAUAUGGACUGUGUUGCAUACGGGGUGACUAGAGGACGGCAGAGGCAAGUGGAAUUAGCGGUGUAGCAGUGAAAUGCGUAGAUAUCGCUAGGAACACCAAUGGCGAAGGCAGCUUGCUGGGCCGCCCCUGACACUGAGGCACGAAAGCGUGGGGAGCGAACAGG